UCAUCCUUUUCUAAGGAAAUUUGUCUUGGUUUUCUUCUAUAGCCCAAACAUUUCUACUCAUGUCAAGCAUUUGGAGGCAGUAUUUCAAGUUUUUAGGCAGCAAAGGUUGUAUGAUAAGAUGUCUAAGUGUGCUUUUGCUCAAAGACAAGUUGAGUAUUUGGGGCAUGUCAUAUCUGGAAAUGGAGUGGCUACUGAUCCUAAUAAAAUCAAAGCUAUGGUGACUUGGCCUGUGCCACAGAAUGUUAAAGAAUUGAGAAGUUUUCUUGGCCUCACUGGUUAUUAUAGAAAAUUUAUCCAUCACUAUGGCUCUAUUAGCUGACUGAAUUGUUAAAAAAAGAUUCAUUUCAGUGGAAUUCAGCAGCUCAAGGUGCUUUUGAUCACCUUAAAAUUGCAAUGUCUCUAGCUCCAGUCCUUGCACUUCCUGAUUUUACAAAGCCAUUCAUUGUCGAAACAGAUGCUAGCAGUUUUGGUAUGGGGGCAGUGUUGCAACACCAGAGACAUCCAAUUGCUUUCAUUUCAAUGGCAUUUGGACCAAGAAAUAAGG
This 544-nucleotide unclassified non-coding RNA is filed under the name Hevea brasiliensis (rubber tree). The record is from RNAcentral. Lineage: Eukaryota; Viridiplantae; Streptophyta; Magnoliopsida; Malpighiales; Euphorbiaceae.